CCUACGGGGGGCAGCAGUGGGGAAUAUUGGACAAUGGGGGGAACCCUGAUCCAGCCAUGCCGCGUGUGUGAAGAAGGCCCGCGGGUUGUAAAGCACUUUCAGUGAGGAAGAACGCCUGGUGGUUAAUACCCAUCAGGAAAGACAUCACUCACAGAAGAAGCACCGGCUAACUCCGUGCCAGCAGCCGCGGUAAUACGGAGGGUGCGAGCGUUAAUCGGAAUUACUGGGCGUAAAGCGCGCGUAGGUGGCUUGAUAAGCCGGUUGUGAAAGCCCCGGGCUCAACCUGGGAACGGCAUCCGGAACUGUCAAGCUAGAGUGCAGGUGAGGAAGGUAGAAUUCCCGGUGUAGCGGUGAAAUGCGUAGAUAUCGGGAGGAAUACCAGUGGCGAAGGCGGCCUUCUGGACUGACACUGACACUGAGGUGCGAAAGCGUGGGUAGCAAACAGGAUUAGAUACCCGUGUAGUC
Molecule: ribosomal RNA, 465 nt
Filed under: Vreelandella stevensii
Lineage: Bacteria; Pseudomonadati; Pseudomonadota; Gammaproteobacteria; Oceanospirillales; Halomonadaceae
Description: partial 16S ribosomal RNA
Rfam family: Bacterial small subunit ribosomal RNA
Source: RNAcentral